UCGAGAAAAUCAUGAUGUUGUACAUGCAUAAUAAUUUCCGAGCGCCUGCCCCGAUCGAUCAAUCAAGUUUCAUCGAACGGCCAUCCUCGAGCAAAUUGAAUUUCUGAGAACCAACUUUGACGACACGGAUCGGAGAUCUUAUUCGCAACAAUUCACGAAUAUAUUUAUUACUGAUUAUAUCCGCGGACGUCGACCACGGCGUGCAAGACUCUCAGCAUGAAUCUCAUGAUGAAUGAAGCCGACGCGGUUAAGGUACCACACUUCCGGUCAGGCUCCCUUUAAUCAGCGAGAUGGAACUAACCAGAAGGACUAAGUACUCCAAGGUCUCAGUUUAAAUAAAAUCAUAAAAGAUGAUGGUUUCAAUAGAUGUGCUAAUCUCAUCGCCAUUCGAAGGAACAGUAGACUCGUCAGCAUGUAACAUUUUAAUUGGUCUUAUUGACAUUGCUAAUUGCUGGUGCUAAACAACUUUGCGUCAGCGCGAACUCGAGCAAAAUAUAAAACGACGGAAAUCAAUGCAAUUAUUGCGAAUCAGAUGAUUCAGUAAUUACAUACCUAUAUUGUAAUCUAUAUGUAAUAACAACAUUGGUAAAUACACGAGUCGGUGACAUUUAAAAAUGGUAAAUAAAUGUAUCGUUAGAUAAUUAUUUUUAAAUGAUAUUUAUAUAUUUCACUUUAUCAAUAUGUACAGUUAUUAUAACUUUUCCAAAUAACGAGAUUGCAUGGAACUGCAUGCAUACUGUCAAACGUAAAUUAUUCGAAUGAUAAUAAAUGUAAGGUGAUGUAGUGCUAAUAAAUGAUCACUUUAAUUUAAUCGCAUACUAAUUACAGAUUGAUUCAUCAAUUUAUUUUAUUCCUUUUAUUUUACUCCUUUAUUGCCAAAACUCUCUGCAUUAGUUUACUGCAUUAGUUAAUGCAUUUAUUCACCUUUCUAAUUUUUAAGCUAGAUUAUC
This is a long non-coding RNA of Ooceraea biroi (clonal raider ant), 950 nucleotides long. RefSeq lists it as uncharacterized. The record is from RefSeq and is a predicted model, not a curated record. Lineage: Eukaryota; Metazoa; Arthropoda; Insecta; Hymenoptera; Formicidae.